CCUACGGGAGGCAGCAGUGGGGAAUAUUGCACAAUGGGCGAAAGCCUGAUGCAGCGACGCCGCGUGGGGGAUGAAGGCCUUCGGGUUGUAAACCUCUUUCAGCAGGGAAGAAGCGAGAGUGACGGUACCUGCAGAAGAAGCACCGGCUAACUACGUGCCAGCAGCCGCGGUAAUACGUAGGGUGCAAGCGUUGUCCGGAAUUAUUGGGCGUAAAGAGCUCGUAGGCGGUCUGUCGCGUCGGAUGUGAAAACCCAGGGCUCAACCCUGGGCCUGCAUUCGAUACGGGCAGACUAGAAUUCGGUAGGGGAGACUGGAAUUCCUGGUGUAGCGGUAAAAUGCGCAGAUAUCAGGAGGAACACCGGUGGCGAAGGCGGGUCUCUGGGCCGAUAUUGACGCUGAGGAGCGAAAGCGUGGGGAGCGAACAGGAUUAGAUACCCUGGUAGUCCACGCCGUAAACGUUGGGCGCUAGGUGUGGGGAACAUUCCACGUUCUCCGUGCCGCAGCUAACGCAUUAAGCGCCCCGCCUGGGGAGUACGGCCGCAAGGCUAAAACUCAAAGGAAUUGACGGGGGCCCGCACAAGCGGCGGAGCAUGUGGCUUAAUUCGACGCAACGCGAAGAACCUUAC
This 626-nucleotide ribosomal RNA is filed under the name uncultured Actinomycetes bacterium. RNAcentral's name for it is "bacterial SSU rRNA". It matches the Rfam family "Bacterial small subunit ribosomal RNA", at positions 338 to 974 of the family's 1533-position model. The record is from RNAcentral. Lineage: Bacteria; Bacillati; Actinomycetota; Actinomycetes.